Molecule: long non-coding RNA, 1280 nt
Filed under: Panax ginseng (ginseng)
Lineage: Eukaryota; Viridiplantae; Streptophyta; Magnoliopsida; Apiales; Araliaceae
Description: long non-coding RNA (PGIN_LNC000306)
Source: RNAcentral
CGCUAACCGCUGCAGGUUUAGCGGUUAUAGACAGUUGCAACUUGUGGCAUGUAACUGACACCAACUGUCGAUCCAUAAAAUAACUACCAUUAUUGUUGUUGUACCUAUUAUUAAAACAACAAUUUCAGUGGUUUAUUACAACAAUAUAUAGGUCAUUUCUAUGACACUUAAUAUGUAUUUUAUUUUCUCUUUUCAAGUUCAUAUAUAAAAUAAACUCACCCAAAAUUUAAUUAAAAUUUUUGAAAAUUAUUAACAACCAUUGUAUAAAGAAUAUCAGUCUUAACACAUGUAUACACGCUUCUUAAAAUAUAACUUAAAGAGCUUCCCUUAUCCCACAAUAGCAUCUCCGCCAAUGCGUGAGGUAAUUGCUAUUUGGGGAAACCGGAAAGAAUUAAAAAAAACCACAUCCUAUAUGUUACAACCCACAUCCCAUCUCCCAAUCAAAUUAACAUUUUUGCUUAGAAAAUAUGUAAAAUUAUCAAAUAAGACACUAUUUUAUUAAAGAUACGCAGACAAUUCAAAAUGGGGACAAUGAACAAAACCUGUUUUCAUUUCUUCAUUUCUGAUAGGUGUAUACCAAGUAAUUCAAGCAAGACCUAAAGUUAAAAUCAAACUCUCCUCUUGUUUUUAUGCUAAAAAAUUCACAAUAACAAUUUCACACCAAUAGCUCCAAUUGGGAUAAAGAAAAAAGUCCAAAAAUUAUAUAUAUUAAAAAAAAUACUGAAUCCUAAAGAAAGGUAUAAAUAUUGCGAUAUGGGUACUGAUGAAAUUUACUUAACAUCACAAUUUAGCUAAAUAUUGAGCAUUAUGCGAACAAUUUAAACAUCUUCUGCACACAAUUACAACUUCCACUUCUAUAUAUUACAAGAGGGUGCUUGUGUAAUCCAUAAUACAGAGAAAGACUGACCCAGUUGCAGAGAGUCUGUGUCUGGGCUCAACAGGACCGGGCGAGGUACCAGCGGCUCCUCUCAUGUUCGAUUCACUAACUGCUUUGGAACGGCAACAUCUGAUCUGAAAACAAAUUACUAUAAGAAUACAAUUUCAACUCGAAAUUAAAUCACAUAAAACAGACUCGAAAAGCACAAUUUAACAACUUGGAAUCUCACUGAUUAUGUCAGCAAAAGCUCUACCUGUGGAGAAAGAGAAAGAUGUGAUCUUGGCUGAAGAAAGUGACUGAUUUACAAAGAAAAUGGAAAUGGCAGUAGUGAAAGUUUGGAGAGAGAGGCGGUCAAGUGUUAGAACUCAAAAGAGCAAUAAUAUUUGUUAGGUAAUUAACUAAU